This 113-nucleotide ribosomal RNA is filed under the name Acanthosepion pharaonis. The record is from RNAcentral. Lineage: Eukaryota; Metazoa; Mollusca; Cephalopoda; Sepiida; Sepiidae.
UUACGGUCAAAUCACGCUGAAACACAGGUUCUCGUUCGAUCACCGAGGUUAAGCAUCGAGAGCCAGGUCAGUACUUAGAUGGGGGACCGCUUGGGAACACCUGGUACUGUAAG